RNAcentral lists this transfer RNA (75 nucleotides) under Pseudomonadota bacterium. RNAcentral describes it as "tRNA-Asp". It matches the Rfam family "tRNA". From Rfam's summary of the family: Transfer RNA (tRNA) molecules are approximately 80 nucleotides in length. The record is from RNAcentral. Lineage: Bacteria; Pseudomonadati; Pseudomonadota. RNAcentral also lists the same sequence under 2 other names.
GGGGCCGUAGCUCAAUUGGUCCAGAGCGCCGCCCUGUCACGGCGGAGGUUGCGGGUUCGAGCCCCGUCGGCCUCG